Molecule: non-coding RNA, 25 nt
Filed under: Mus musculus (house mouse)
Lineage: Eukaryota; Metazoa; Chordata; Mammalia; Rodentia; Muridae
Source: RNAcentral
GAGCUAGGAGUGGCAAGGGAGCAGU